GGCCUGGUGGUGAAGAGGUAACACAGGAGUCUGCAAAACUCCCACGCGCGGGUUCGAUUCCCGCCCAGGCCU
RNAcentral lists this transfer RNA (72 nucleotides) under Candidatus Kaiserbacteria bacterium. RNAcentral's name for it is "tRNA-Cys". It matches the Rfam family "tRNA". From Rfam's summary of the family: Transfer RNA (tRNA) molecules are approximately 80 nucleotides in length. Their secondary structure includes four short double-helical elements and three loops (D, anti-codon, and T loops). The record is from RNAcentral. Lineage: Bacteria; Candidatus Kaiseribacteriota.